Molecule: ribosomal RNA, 484 nt
Filed under: uncultured bacterium
Lineage: Bacteria
Description: partial 16S ribosomal RNA
Rfam family: Bacterial small subunit ribosomal RNA
Source: RNAcentral
AUUGAACGCUGGCGGCAGGCCUAACACAUGCAAGUCGAGCGGAUGAAGGGAGCUUGCUCCUGGAUUCAGCGGCGGACGGGUGGGUAAUGCCUAGGAAUCUGCCUGGUAGUGGGGGAUAACGUCCGGAAACGGGCGCGAAUACCGCAUACGUCCUGAGGGAGAAAGGGGGGGAUCUUCGGACCUCACGCUUUUAGAUGAGCCUAGGCCGGAUUAGCUAGUUGGUGGGGUAAAGGCCUACCAAGGCGACGAUCCGUAACUGGUCUGAGAGGCUGAUCAGUCACACUGGAACUGAGACACGGUCCAGACUCCUACGGGAGGCAGCAGUGGGGAAUAUUGGACAAUGGGCGAAAGCCUGAUCCAGCCAUGCCGCGUGUGUGAAGAAGGUCUUCGGAUUGUAAAGCACUUUAAGUUGGGAGGAAGGGCAGUAAGUUAAUACCUUGCUGUUUUGACGUUACCAACAGAAUAAGCACCGGCUAACUUCGUG